This 227-nucleotide long non-coding RNA is filed under the name Capsicum annuum. RNAcentral describes it as "long non-coding RNA (CANN_LNC005394)". Lineage: Eukaryota; Viridiplantae; Streptophyta; Magnoliopsida; Solanales; Solanaceae. The record is from RNAcentral.
GCCCCAUAAAUUGAAACAUAAGAAGCAAUAUAUAUUAUUUAAAAAUAACGUAAAAAUAUCAUAAAUGACAAUAAUUUACAACUUAAAAUGUUAUCGACAUAUAAAAAAUUUGAUUGAUUCACCAUAUACUAUCACAAUCACAUAAAUUAGGAUAGGAGUAACAAAUAUUAUUCGAAAAUAACAUAAAUUACUAUAAAUCACAAUAACUAACAACUCAAAAUGUGUAA